UAUGAAGUUGGAAUCGCUAGUAAUCGCGGAUCAGCAUGCCGCGGUGAAUACGUUCCCGGGCCUUGUACACACCGCCCGUCACACCAUGAGAGUCGGGAACACCCGAAGUCCGUAGCCUAACCGCAAGGGGGCGCGGCCGAAGGUGGGUUCGAUAAUUGGGGUGAAGUCGUAACAAGGUACC
This 181-nucleotide ribosomal RNA is filed under the name uncultured bacterium. Its description in RNAcentral is "partial 16S ribosomal RNA". It matches the Rfam family "Bacterial small subunit ribosomal RNA", at positions 1319 to 1500 of the family's 1533-position model. The record is from RNAcentral.